CCCUUAGAUGUUCUGGGCUGCACGCGCGCUACAAUGAUGCAUUCAACGAGCAUAGCUGCCUCGAAAGAAAGCGGCGAAUCUUUUGAAACUGCAUCGUGACGGGGAUAGAUGAUUGUAAUUAUUCAUCUUCAACGAGGAAUUCCUAGUAAGUGCAAGUCAUCAACUUGCGCUGAUUACGUCCCUGCCCUUUGUACACACCGCCCGUCGCUCCUACCGAUUGAGUGAUCCGGUGAGCUAUUCGGACUGUAUGCUCGUCACUUUGGCUUGCGUAUGGGAAGUUUCGCGAACCUUAUCACUUAGAGGAAGGAGAAGUCGUAACA
This 320-nucleotide ribosomal RNA is filed under the name uncultured eukaryote. Its description in RNAcentral is "partial 18S ribosomal RNA". It matches the Rfam family "Eukaryotic small subunit ribosomal RNA", at positions 1470 to 1796 of the family's 1831-position model. The record is from RNAcentral.